RNAcentral lists this ribosomal RNA (462 nucleotides) under uncultured bacterium. RNAcentral describes it as "partial 16S ribosomal RNA". It matches the Rfam family "Bacterial small subunit ribosomal RNA", at positions 28 to 507 of the family's 1533-position model. The record is from RNAcentral.
GACGAACGCUGGCGGCGUGCUUAACACAUGCAAGUCGAACGGUAAGGCCUUUCGGGGUACACGAGUGGCGAACGGGUGAGUAACACGUGGGUGAUCUGCCCUGCACUUCGGGAUAAGCCCGGGAAGCUGGGUCUAAUACCGGAUAGGACUGCGCGGUGCAUGCCGUGUGGUGGAAAGAUUUAUCGGUGCAGGAUGGGCCCGCGGCCUAUCAGCUUGUUGGUGGGGUAAUGGCCUACCAAGGCGACGACGGGUAGCCGGCCUGAGAGGGCGACCGGCCACACUGGGACUGAGACACGGCCCAGACUCCUACGGGAGGCAGCAGUGGGGAAUAUUGCACAAUGGGCGCAAGCCUGAUGCAGCGACGCCGCGUGAGGGAUGACGGCCUUCGGGUUGUAAACCUCUUUCAGCAGGGACGAAGCGUGAGUGACGGUACCUGCAGAAGAAGCACCGGCCAACUACGUG